This 247-nucleotide long non-coding RNA is filed under the name Capsicum annuum. Its description in RNAcentral is "long non-coding RNA (CANN_LNC010228)". Lineage: Eukaryota; Viridiplantae; Streptophyta; Magnoliopsida; Solanales; Solanaceae. The record is from RNAcentral.
UCCAGCAAUGUCCAACAACCCAUCUAUUUUUUCCUUACAUUUGUUAUUUUGGUAGGUGGUUGCUUGGACAAUGUCUUCCCUGUAUUUAAUGGUGGUUGCUUGGUUGUCCUAUUUGCCUUAGACCUUUCGCAGGGUAUUUCCUUAAUGAGAGGUUCUUCUGGAUGAUUAAAUCACAUUCCUGUCACUAUGGAAAACUCUUUUAAGCCAAAACAAAUUAGCAUGCCACAGUAGUUGAUCCAAAUUUCAU